Clupea harengus (Atlantic herring) is the source of this 755-nucleotide long non-coding RNA. The record is from Ensembl. NCBI's taxonomy places the organism in Eukaryota, Metazoa, Chordata, Actinopteri, Clupeiformes, Clupeidae.
AGUGGGGGAAAAUUACCUGGAAUUCUAACCACACAUUCCAAGGAGGAAUACCUGACCUGCUAUGCAAAUAGUAAGGCAAAUUACUGGGGUCAUGCUGGAGCCCCUUUGGUAUGCCGGCCAAACGACUCCAAUUUCUUUGUCCUAGGGGUGGCCAGUUGGAGUGAGGGAUGUGGAAAGUUUCCAAGGCCGGCGGUUUAUUCCUCAGUGCCUCUUGUCGUGGACUGGAUUCUGCAGCAGUUUGAUGUGACUUUGGAUUCAGAGCUUGAAGAGGACCCAGAUGAAAAAGAUUUUAGGACUGAAUCAUCUGUAGGCUUUUAAGCUGUACCAUCAUAUCUGCAUUUCAACAAAGCCAGCCACAACUUGCGCUCUGAAUACAUGAUCAGUAUUUAUAUUACAGUAACGUUCAUUAUUAUGUAUUUUGAAUUAUUUAUUUUGGUAUGAUAUGUAGAGCAAUGUUACUGCAUGUUUGAUGAAGGACAAUGUUUUUCUAUUAUUAAUGUAUUCUCUCACGUGUAUUUCCAUAGCCAAUUUAUUUAUAUAAUGAUUAGGACACAUUUUGGAAAUAAAGUUUUUAUGACUUGUUAAUGGUGGUGUAAUGUUAUAAAUUAAACCAUGGGUAUCCACUCUCACCAACAUCAUAUAGUAAUUAUAAUGUCGCGCACAGUUUAAUAAUAUAAAGAAAAAUAGUUGAACAGAUAAUCUGUACAUUCAAAAUGUUGUAGCUAAGUGAUCCAAAGACAAACCGUUGCCGCAUG